This 693-nucleotide long non-coding RNA is filed under the name Penaeus monodon (black tiger shrimp). RNAcentral describes it as "uncharacterized LOC119571342". Lineage: Eukaryota; Metazoa; Arthropoda; Malacostraca; Decapoda; Penaeidae. The record is from RNAcentral.
AGCCAGUAUACCACCCCGACACCCCCUCCCUCGACGCUCCCUCCUGGGGGGUGAUCUUUGGGGUUCUGCCCGUGCACCACCACCGAGGGGGGGGAGUGGGGGGGAGGUCGUGGCUACCCCCCCUCACCUACGACCCGCUGCUGACCUCGGCGCACGGCCCUAAGGGGAGCGCGUGGCCUCGGUCCCUCCUGCUCGUGCUGGCGCUGCUCUUCGCCGUCAUGGGGCUGGUCAUGAUUAUCGUUGGUUCGACUUCCUAUCACGCGCUUCUGGUGCGGCGAACGGGAGAAGGGAUAAACGAAGAGGAAAGAGGAGGAGGAGGAGGAGGGAAAAGAAGAAGGAAUAGGAGGAAAAGAAGGAGGAGGAGGAGAAGGAGGAGAUGGAGGAAUAGGAAGAGAAGCAGGAGGAGGAGGAGAAGGAGAACGAGGAAUAGGAGGGGAAAGCAAAGGAGGAGGAGAAAUUACCGCGGAUGGAGGAAGAGGAGGAGGAGGAGGAGGGGACGUGCGGGGGGGGAACGCCACGGCGUACGUCCUCGUCCUCUGCCUCGGGAUCCUGCUCGAGGUGGCGGCUCUGGGGUCCCUUUGGGGCUACUGCAGAUACAUGGGGUAUUAUCUGCCGUGCUGCCCGGGCAAGAUCUCGCGCAUUCGCCGCAGGUUCCACGGACACCCAACGCGCUCGACUAUGUUCAAUGGGCAG